RNAcentral lists this long non-coding RNA (271 nucleotides) under Elaeis guineensis (African oil palm). Its description in RNAcentral is "long non-coding RNA (EGUI_LNC034871)". The record is from RNAcentral. Lineage: Eukaryota; Viridiplantae; Streptophyta; Magnoliopsida; Arecales; Arecaceae.
UAAGUCAGAAUAAACUUUGAAAAUUGAUGUUGACAAAGAGUAGGACUCCAAGAGUAGCCCCUGUCCGAAAAGGCUUUGGGUAAGGCAACAACAACUGGGGGACAUCUUGGCCCAUGCUAAGACCCCAUAAAUGAAACCCUUAAAACAAGUCCGAGGACACGAUCGAAGUAUCUGACUAGAAAAGCCUUGGAGAAUUACUUUAGAACCCAAUAGAUCGGGUCUUCAAACUUUGAACAAGAAGAUAAACAUAGUAAAAUUAUAGAACAUGCCA